Molecule: ribosomal RNA, 329 nt
Filed under: uncultured eukaryote
Lineage: Eukaryota
Description: partial 18S ribosomal RNA
Rfam family: Eukaryotic small subunit ribosomal RNA
Source: RNAcentral
CCCUUAGAUGUUCUGGGCCGCACGCGCGCUACACUGAUGCAUUCAACGAGUCUAAAACCUGCUCUGAUAGGGGUGGGUAAUCUUUUGAAUGUGCAUCGUGAUUGGGAUAGAUGAUUGCAAUUUUUCAUCUUCAACGAGGAAUGCCUAGUAAACGCAAGUCAUCAGCUUGCAUUGAUUACGUCCCUGCCCUUUGUACACACCGCCCGUCGCUCCUACCGAUUGAAUGAUCCGAUGAAUAUCAUGGAUUGAGGAUGCAAGCCGGUUCGCCUGUCUUCAUCUUCGAGAAGUGAAGUAAAUCUUAUCAUUUAGAGGAAGGAGAAGUCGUAACA